ACCAUGGCAAGGAUAGUUGGUUAAGUAACAUGUCACCACUUAGAAAAGUCUGACUACACGAAAGCCGGCCAUACCGGAAACCCAGUGACAAAACAAGGGCCUUCAGCUGCCAAAUUCCGUUAGAAAAAGGUAGCUCAUCCACCAUGUCAGAACAGGAAGAUCCAAAUACAUCCACUAUGGCAGAAGAGAAAGAUCCAGACUCAUCUACCAUGGCAGACGAUGAAGUUCCAGGCCCCCCGGCCACUAAAGAACAUAAAAAACUGCUUGUCUGCACAGUUGGGAAAGAGAGAUGGCCCUGUAUUUACCAGAAAAGGAAGCUCAUCCACCAUGGCAGAAGAGGAAGAUCUAGACUCAUCCACCAUGGUAGAAGAGGAAGAUCCACACAUUGUUCUCAUGAUGUUGCUUGCAAGCAAGAUGAAACAUCACAGAGGACCACUGUAUGAGUCAUAAACUCAGCAAAAAAAGGAAAGUCCUCUCACUGUCAACUGCGUUUAUUUUCAGCAAACUUAACAUGUGUAAAUAUUUGUAUGAACAUAACAAGAUUCAACAACUGAGACAUAAACUGAACAAGUUCCACAGAUGUGACUAACAGAAAUUGAAUAAUGUGGCCCUGAACAAAGGGGGGGUCAAAAUCAAAAGCAACAGUCAGUAUCUGGUGUGGCCACCAGCUGCAUUAAGUACUGCAGUGCAUCUCCUCCUCAUGGACUGCACCAGAUUUGCCAGUUCUUGCCGUGAGGUUUUACCACACUCUUCCACCAAGGCACCUGCAAGUUCCCGGACAUUUCUGGGGGAAAUGGCCCUAGCCCUCACCCUCCGAUCCAACAGGUCCCAGACAUGCUCAAUGGGAUUGAGAUCCAGGCUCUUUGCUGGCCAUGGCAAAACACUAACAUUCCUGUCUUGCAGGAAAUCACACACAGAACAAGCAGUAUGGCAGGUGGCAUUGUCAUGCUGGAGGGUCAUGUCAGGAUGAGCCUGCAGGAAGGGUACCACAUGAGGGAGGAGGAUGUCUUCCCUGUAACGCACAGCGUUGGGAUUGCCUGCAAUGAUAACAAGCUCAGCCUGAUGAUGCUGUAGCACACCUCCCCAGACCAUGAUGGAUCCUCCACCUCCAAAUCAAUCCCGCUCCAGAGUACAGGCCUCGGUGUAACGGUCAUUCCUUCGACAAUAAACGCUCACCCCUGGUGAGACAAAACCACGACUGGUCAGUGAAGAGCACUUUUUGCCAUUCCUGUCUGGUCCAGCAACGGUGGGUUUGUGCCCAUAGGGGAUGUUGUUGCCGGUGAUGUCUGGUGAGAACCUGCCUUACAACAGGCCUACAAGCCCUCAAUCCAGCCUCUUUCAGCCUAUUGCGGACAGUCUGAGCACUGAUGGAGGGAUUGUGCGUUGCUGGUGUAACUCGGACAGUUGUUGCCAUCCUGUACCUGUCCCGCAGGUGUAAUGUUCAGAUGUACCGAUCCUGUGCAGGUGUUGUUACACGUGGUCUACCACUGCGAGGACGAUCAGCUGUCCACCCUGUCUCCCUGUAGCGCUAUCUUAGGCGUCUCACAGUACGGACAGUGCAAUUUAUUGCCAUGGCCACAUCUGCAGUCCUCAUGCCUCCUUGCGGCAUGCCUACGGCACAUUCACGCAGAUGAGCAGGGACCCUGGGCAUCUAUCUUUCUUUUGGUGUUUUUCAGAGUCAGUAGAAAGGCCUCUUUAGUGUCCUAAGUUUUCGUAACUGUGCCUACCGUCUGUAAGCUGUUAGUGUCUUAAUGACCAUUCCACAGGUGCAUGUUCGUUAAUUGUUUAUGGUUCAUUGAACAAGCAUGGAAAACAGUGUUUAAACCCUUUAUAAUGAAGAUCUGUGAAGUUAUUUUGAUUUUUCAUCCUGAAAAGGGACGUUUCUUUUUUUUGCUGAGUUUAGUACCCAUUAAUCUAGUGGUCAAGCAGGGAAAUGGUUCCAAUCAUUUUUCCACCAUUCAUUUAUCCCAGGGGGGAUUUUAGAAACACUUAAAAGAAGGGCUUGUGUUUCGAGUACGCUUACACUGGCAUGAUGUUUUGAUAACCGUGUAAAACUCUCUAGGACAAGGGAACUUUCAUCAAUAUAUUCACUUGUAUUUACCCCCAAAAUGAAAUGCUAAUUAGCUGCUCAAAUGUUCAAAAGGAGGCCUUCACAAGGUUCCUACUACUGUAUCUGUCUAGAUGGGAGGGCGAAGUUUGAGAGAGUGGAAGUGUGUAUGUGUUUGUAUUUAUCUUUUGAUAUACUGGUCAGUAUCAUAAUCCAUAUUUCAUCAAUUUACAGUUAUAUUUUCAUUAUUAUUCUUAAUUUUAACUAGUUGUGUGAAUGAGAGUAUGUGAUGUCAUUUUGUUGUAUUAUCAUUUUGUUCUCUUUAUGUUCCCUCUAUCUCUGAUCACAGAUUUGCACCUGUGACAGAGGGGAAGUGUAUUUAUUUGGGCGCUAUGGGGUGGGGCUACAAGUCUACUCAGUUCUUGGCCUGGGAGAGCCCUUCUGUAUUGCCAUCUGUACUAUGAUUUGUUUGUUAUUUUCAGCCUGAGGGAUGUAAGAAUAUACAUUAAAUCUCCCUUUACUUUUCGCAUGAUACAACAUGAUCCUGAGUUUCAUUCAAUACAUUCCAGGCAACGGCCGGUCUGUGACAAUGUAGCUAUCAUAAAGAACUACAAAUGCCAUGAUGAUCUAGACAAGACUGCUGAAUAGAGGCAAAGUUAAGAAUCCCUCUGGAUUAACUAUCUAAUGUUAGCUAAAUGUAGUAAUGAAUAAAUUGGCAACAUUUCUUUAAAUAGACAAUUCUGGGAACUGUCUUGUGCAAGUUUUAAAUUGACACAAUACCUGUUAGCAAAUGUGUCAG
Molecule: long non-coding RNA, 2846 nt
Organism: Oncorhynchus tshawytscha (Chinook salmon)
Lineage: Eukaryota; Metazoa; Chordata; Actinopteri; Salmoniformes; Salmonidae
Source: Ensembl